RNAcentral lists this long non-coding RNA (450 nucleotides) under Mytilus galloprovincialis (Mediterranean mussel). Lineage: Eukaryota; Metazoa; Mollusca; Bivalvia; Mytilida; Mytilidae. The record is from RNAcentral.
UGGGGUAUUUUUUAAUGAGCUCUAGUUAAUGCUGGUGUGAAAUAUAAGAAAAUGCAUCCUCAGUCUGAGCCCUAAUGCUGUCAUGUGAUGUCUGGUGUUGCACAUUGGACAAAAUCGAAAACAUGUAGCAAAACCAUAAAUAUUGUCCAACAUGUUUAACCCCGCCACAUUAUGUAUGUAUGUGUCUGUCCCAAGUCAGGAGCCUGUUAUUCAGUGGUUGUGGUUUGUUUGUGUGUAAAAUAUUUGUUUUUUGAUCAUUUUUUUUUUAAAAUAAGGCCGUGAGUUUUCUUGUUUGAAUUGUUUUACAUUGCCAUUUUGGACCUUUUAAAGCUGACUAUGCGGUAUAGGCUUUGCUCAUUGUUGAAGGCCGUACAGUUACCUAUAACUUAAUUUCUGUGUCAUUUUGGUCUCUUGUAGAGAGUUGUCUCAUUGGCAAUCAUACAACAUCUU